UUGAGUCGUCAAGCAGGCACAGAGCACAGAGUGAAAACACCGCUUUUGGGUGAAGUGGCAACACGUGCUGUUGACUUCGAUCGCUGGUGUGACAAGG
RNAcentral lists this small nucleolar RNA (97 nucleotides) under Jaculus jaculus (lesser Egyptian jerboa). Lineage: Eukaryota; Metazoa; Chordata; Mammalia; Rodentia; Dipodidae. The record is from RNAcentral.